UACAGAGGGUGCAAGCGUUGUCCGGAAUUAUUGGGCGUAAAGAGCUCGUAGGCGGUUUGUCGCGUCUGCUGUGAAAACUCGGGGCUUAACUCCGGGCCUGCAGUGGGUACGGGCAGACUAGAGUGCGGUAGGGGAGACUGGAAUUCCUGGUGUAACGGUGGAAAUGCGCAGAUAUCAGGAGGAACACCGGUGGCGAAGGCGGGUCUCUGGGCCGUAACUGACGCUGAGGAGCGAAAGCGUGGGGAGCGAACAGG
Molecule: ribosomal RNA, 254 nt
Filed under: uncultured bacterium
Lineage: Bacteria
Description: partial 16S ribosomal RNA
Rfam family: Bacterial small subunit ribosomal RNA
Source: RNAcentral